CGCGGUAAUUCCAGCUCCAAUAGCGUAUAUUAAAGUUGUUGCAGUUAAAAAGCUCGUAGUUGGAUUUCGGAAGGUCCUUAGCAAUCCGCCCCUUCGGGGAGCGGGUUGCUGGCCUCCUAUGUUCCUAACGGUCCUCGUCCGCGAGGGCGGGGAAUCAACCGCUAGGAUCGUUUACUUUGAGGAAAUUAGAGUGUUCAAAGCAGGCGUAACUCGCCUCCGAAUACGUUAGCAUGGGAUAAUGGAAUACGACUUCGGUCUUGUUUCGUUGGUUUCGCUUGGCUGAAGUAAUGAUUGAUAGGGACAGUUGGGGGCAUUAGUAUUUAGUUGUCAGAGGUGAAAUUCUAGGAUUUACUAAAGACUGACCAAUGCGAAAGCAUUUGCCAAGGAUGUUUUCAUUAAUCAAGAACGAAAGUAGGGGGAUCGAAGACGAUCAGAUACCGUCGUAGUCUCUACCGUAAACUAUGCCGACCAGGGAUCCGGAGAGUUUGCAUGGAUGACUCCCCGGGCACCUUGUGAGAAAUCAUAAGUGUUUGGGUUUUGGGGGGAGUAUGGUCGCAAGGCUGAAACUUAAAGGAAUUGACGGAAGGGCACCACCAGGAGUGGAACCUGCGGCUUAAUUUGACUCAACACGGGGAAACUUACGAGGUCAGGACACUGUGAGGAUUGACAGAUUGAAAGCUCUUUCUUGAUUCAGUGGGUGGUGGUGCAUGGCCGUUCUUAGUUGGUGGAGUGAUUUGUCUGGUUAA
This 746-nucleotide ribosomal RNA is filed under the name Vermamoeba vermiformis. Its description in RNAcentral is "SSU rRNA". It matches the Rfam family "Eukaryotic small subunit ribosomal RNA", at positions 575 to 1322 of the family's 1831-position model. The record is from RNAcentral. Lineage: Eukaryota; Tubulinea; Echinamoebida; Vermamoebidae.